GAUGAACGCUGGCGGUAUGCUUAACACAUGCAAGUCGAACGGUCACUUCGGUGAUAGUGGCGGACGGGUGAGUAACGCGUGAGAAUCUGUCUUCAGGUCGGGGACAACAGUUAGAAAUGACUGCUAAUACCGGAUGUGCCUUUGGGUGAAAGAUUUAUUGCCUGAAAAAGAGCUCGCGUCAGAUUAGCUAGUAGGUGGUGUAAGAGACUACCUAGGCUCCGAUCUGUAGCUGGUCUGAGAGGACGAUCAGCCACACUGGAACUGAGACACGGUCCAGACUACUACGGGAGGGAGCAGAGGGGGAUUUUCCGCAAUGGGCGGAAGCCUGACGGAGCAAUACCGCGUGAGGGAUGAAGGCUUGUGAGUCGUAAACCUCGUUUCUCAAGGAAGAUGAUGACGGUACUUGAGGAAUAAGCAUCGGCUAACUCUGUG
RNAcentral lists this ribosomal RNA (432 nucleotides) under uncultured bacterium. Its description in RNAcentral is "partial 16S ribosomal RNA". It matches the Rfam family "Bacterial small subunit ribosomal RNA", at positions 28 to 507 of the family's 1533-position model. The record is from RNAcentral.